Molecule: small RNA, 594 nt
Filed under: Pongo abelii (Sumatran orangutan)
Lineage: Eukaryota; Metazoa; Chordata; Mammalia; Primates; Hominidae
Description: retained intron
Source: RNAcentral
UCGUGCAUGGGAAAUACUUACACCAAAAAGCUACUCAUGGUUUCUCUGGGAUUCCAACAUCACUGGGCAUCCUGGAUGUGCCUUUGCUGAUUCUGGACACCCCAAGUUGGGAGGCUCAGAGCUGGAAAGCUGAGGGCAGAGCUGCCGGCUAAGAAAGGGGACAGAGGUCCUCCACCUACCCGCCUCUGCAGCCAAGUGUCUACCUGGCCAGGUGCCUGGCCCCACCUGGUGGCCCUGUGGCCUGGGGGUGUCCAGGUGGUCCCGGGUGUGAGUCCACAUGGUUCUGCCUGACCUGUCUGUGCAGCUGGCCCUGGGUGUGGCCUCGGGUGACACCCAGAUCUCUCUCUCUCCAGGGCCCCAAAGGUGAGAGCGUGGGCUCCAUCACACAGCCCCUGCCCAGCAGCUACCUGAUCUUCAGGGCCGCCUCCGAGUCAGAUGGUCGCUGCUGGCUAGAUGCCCUGGAGCUGGCCCUGCGCUGUUCUAGCCUGCUGAGACUGGGCUCCUGCAAGCCAGGCCGAGACGGGGAGCCAGGGACCUCGCCAGACGCAUCACCCUCAUUGCUCUGCGGGCUGCCAGCCUCAGCCACCAUCCACC